CUUCAUAGUAUCACUCCUUGAUGUAGCCAACAUAAGAAGUUCAGAAACAUGAAUUUCUAGCUUCCUUUUGUUCUCUUCAAGUUUGUCCCUAACUGAAAGAACUCUGUCCGUUUGAAUUUGCCUUUUCAGCUGAUUGAUUCUGUACUUUAGAGAUGCUGAAGAAUCCUCUUCAUUUUCUCCAUCGAACUUAGUGGGUGUGGGCGCAGAUUCAGCAGAGAUGGAGGUGGAGGAGAUCAUCAAGUCCUGUGUAGAUAAUCUUUCACAACAAUAGGGAAGUGAAGGAAUAGUUUUGAUGAAGAAGAGAGG
RNAcentral lists this unclassified non-coding RNA (306 nucleotides) under Hevea brasiliensis (rubber tree). The record is from RNAcentral. Lineage: Eukaryota; Viridiplantae; Streptophyta; Magnoliopsida; Malpighiales; Euphorbiaceae.